This is a long non-coding RNA of Olea europaea var. sylvestris, 327 nucleotides long. RefSeq lists it as uncharacterized. NCBI's taxonomy places the organism in Eukaryota, Viridiplantae, Streptophyta, Magnoliopsida, Lamiales, Oleaceae. The record is from RefSeq and is a predicted model, not a curated record. The transcript has 4 exons.
GUUGCCAGGUUCCUCCAAUUCUUGUUCAGAAGAUAUUUUCUCAGAUAUUUUCAUAUAUCAACGUACAACUCUUCAACAGUCUACUUCUACGUCGUGAGUGUUGUACAUUCAGCAACGGUGAGUACGUGAAGGCAGGGUUGGCUGAGCUAGAGCUCUGGUGUGCUCAAGCAAAAGAAGAUUAUGCAGGCUCAGCUUGGGAUGAACUCAAACACAUACGACAAGCUGUUGGGUUCUUGGUUAUACAUCAGAAGUACAGAAUAUCUUAUGACGAGAUCACCAAUGAUUUAUGUCCUGUAAGUCGAACCCCCCCCCCCCCCCCCCCCCCCC